Molecule: ribosomal RNA, 510 nt
Filed under: uncultured bacterium
Lineage: Bacteria
Description: partial 16S ribosomal RNA
Rfam family: Bacterial small subunit ribosomal RNA
Source: RNAcentral
GACGAACGCUGGCGGCGUGCUUAACACAUGCAAGUCGAACGAAGAGCGAUGGAAGCUUGCUUCUAUCAAUCUUAGUGGCGAACGGGUGAGUAACGCGUAAUCAACCUGCCCUUCAGAGGGGGACAACAGUUGGAAACGACUGCUAAUACCGCAUACGAUCUAAUCUCGGCAUCGAGGAUAGAUGAAAGGUGGCCUCUACAUGUAAGCUAUCACUGAAGGAGGGGAUUGCGUCUGAUUAGCUAGUUGGAGGGGUAACGGCCCACCAAGGCGAUGAUCAGUAGCCGGUCUGAGAGGAUGAACGGCCACAUUGGGACUGAGACACGGCCCGGACUCCUACGGGAGGCAGCAGUGGGGAAUCUUCCGCAAUGGACGGAAGUCUGACGGAGCAACGCCGCGUGAGUGAUGACGGCCUUCGGGUUGUAAAGCUCUGUUAAUCGGGACGAAAGGCCUUCUUGCGAAUAGUGAGAAGGAUUGACGGUACCGGAAUAGAAAGCCACGGCUAACUACGUG